GACAUUUUGGGGCUGCCACUGUCUGUGUGAGACAACAGCCACCCUUUCCCUCGAUCACAUCCCCUAUGCUUCACUUCCUCUCUCCGUGGUCCCCCUUCCUCAAUUCAGAAUGUCACCUGGUGAUAAGAUGACAUGCAUUUGAGCCUCAACCACCUUCCGGCACCCCCUCUCCUCUGCCCCUCAAGCCACAAGCCGAAAGCCGGCAGCUUUCCGAUUCCAGAGCAAGCUUGCCACAGGAAUCCUGCGAGGAAUAGCAGUUAGGUCUUAAUCUCCUCUCCUCCUGUCCCCCCCGGAGGCUAAGCCACUCUGCCUGGAUUUUCCCUCCCGCUCGCCCCCAUCCCGAACUCUCUCCCCGCCCCGCUUCUUUCCCCACGCACACGGCGGCUGCACCGUCACAGAAAGCAGGUGAACGCGGGGCCACGGGGCGCUCGGGUAGAAAUGCCACGUCGCGCCACCAAGUCACACCGUCCCUGCCCGUCCCUGCCCGUCCCUCUCCAGCCAUCCCGCUAACUACUGUAUUGGGGCCAUGCAGCCGCUGGAAUAAUCAGCGAAGCCACAGGUCUCCCCGUCUUGGCAAGUGGAGGUGAGCGCUGCCCUCAGACAUCUGUGAACCGCUGUUCAACGCCAACCCUGAAGGCAGAGGGGGAAACCAAGUCACCUCCCAGACAGACGUUUGAUGAGCAGAGAUAGAUUUGCCUCUAGACUGGUACCAGGGCUGGGAAACCCAGGCAGAGCCCCAGGCUCUGUGUGACCCAAAGAAGAAAAAAAUAGGUGCACAGUGAUGGCUCCAGGUCUGCCCACCCAGAUGCUACCACGAAAUCCCUGGCAUCCACGAAGCUUCCCCCUGUUCCACGGUGGAAACUGGGGGAAAAUGGACUUGUGUCUCCAAGCAGGGUCCAUGGACACUGGACGAUGCCUGAAAUCCCCUGGAAGGCAGGGAAAAGGCGCACUGAACGCUCAACCGGGGUAUAACGAGUGAUUUUUUUUUUUCUCUGCUGGCAGCAGGCAGGAACCUGGGGUUUGAAUGUCCCCUUCUCCGUCGCCACCUCACGCAGACUUCAGAGGCUCUCAAGGUUUCCUGGUGAGGGGGAAAUCAUCCCCGGAGCUGACCUGCCAACCAGCAGCACCCUCCAGCGCCACAGCCGGGCCACACCAAAAUGACCUGUCACCCAUCUCCUGCGGGGAGUGGGGAGCGGGCCAGUCCACCGCCUCUCGGGACGGCAUCUGGACGACCACUGACAGUACCAGUCUCUGUCACCCCCUGGGGGCAUAGGGGCGAUGUCAUCGGCCAGGGUGGCAGAAAUAGAAAAGUGCGUGAGCUCACCAGGCAGCCUGGGUCUCCCGCGACGUUUUGUUUGCCUGAGCCCAAUUAGAACAACUCUCAGGGUGAUGCAGUAUGGCGGGUGCUGGCCCCCAGGGGGCUGGGAGGCCUAGCCCCCAUGCAGAAGUGCACCGUCAUGAUGAGGGUGUCCCCCGGGCCUGGGGAACAGGGCAGGACCCUGCUUUCUGGAGGGGAAGAAUGAAGACUCCGCCAGCCUGCCAGCCAGAAAGAGAUGCCCCACGGAAGGCUUUGUGGAGGGCAGCAGGGGGGUGGGGGGGAUGCCCAGGUGGGGACUCAGUCAGGCCCAAGCUGGGGGGCUGUGGGAUUUGAGGGCGGGAAGCAGCCGCCCCCAGCCCCAGCUGCCUGCCUUCCACCGCCAAAAUAUCAGCUGGCAGAGAAAGAAGAGCAGAGGGACAGAAGGCAGGCGCGAUUGGCAGGGGGAGGGGGCACAAAGGAAGGGACCCUGGGAGAGGGAGGGGACUUAUGCAAAUGGCAGAUUCGACCAAGUCCCUAGGCCAUUAAUAAACGCUCCAGCAGCUGCCGCUGGUAUCUCA
Molecule: long non-coding RNA, 1875 nt
Organism: Symphalangus syndactylus (siamang)
Lineage: Eukaryota; Metazoa; Chordata; Mammalia; Primates; Hylobatidae
Source: RefSeq, a predicted model, not a curated record